RNAcentral lists this ribosomal RNA (560 nucleotides) under Microbacterium esteraromaticum. Its description in RNAcentral is "bacterial SSU rRNA". It matches the Rfam family "Bacterial small subunit ribosomal RNA", at positions 173 to 748 of the family's 1533-position model. Lineage: Bacteria; Bacillati; Actinomycetota; Actinomycetes; Micrococcales; Microbacteriaceae. The record is from RNAcentral.
AUGUCCCGUCACCGCAUGGUGUGCGGGUGGAAAGAUUUUUCGGUUGGGGAUGGGCUCGCGGCCUAUCAGCUUGUUGGUGAGGUAAUGGCUCACCAAGGCGUCGACGGGUAGCCGGCCUGAGAGGGUGACCGGCCACACUGGGACUGAGACACGGCCCAGACUCCUACGGGAGGCAGCAGUGGGGAAUAUUGCACAAUGGGCGCAAGCCUGAUGCAGCAACGCCGCGUGAGGGAUGACGGCCUUCGGGUUGUAAACCUCUUUUAGCAGGGAAGAAGCGAGAGUGACGGUACCUGCAGAAAAAGCACCGGCUAACUACGUGCCAGCAGCCGCGGUAAUACGUAGGGUGCAAGCGUUAUCCGGAAUUAUUGGGCGUAAAGAGCUCGUAGGCGGUCUGUCGCGUCUGCUGUGAAAUCCCGAGGCUCAACCUCGGGCUUGCAGUGGGUACGGGCAGACUAGAGUGCGGUAGGGGAGAUUGGAAUUCCUGGUGUAGCGGUGGAAUGCGCAGAUAUCAGGAGGAACACCGAUGGCGAAGGCAGAUCUCUGGGCCGUAACUGACGCUG